This 380-nucleotide ribosomal RNA is filed under the name uncultured eukaryote. RNAcentral describes it as "partial 18S ribosomal RNA". It matches the Rfam family "Eukaryotic small subunit ribosomal RNA", at positions 592 to 976 of the family's 1831-position model. The record is from RNAcentral.
CAAUAGCGUAUAUUAAAGUUGUUGCGGUUAAAAAGCUCGUAGUUGGAUUUCUGCCGAGGACGACCGGUCCGCCCUCUGGGUGUGUAUCUGGUUUGGCCUGGGCAUCUUCUUGGAGAACGUAGCUGCACUUGACUGUGUGGUGCGGUGUCCAGGACUUUUACUUUGAGGAAAUUAGAGUGUUUCAAGCAGGCACACGCCUUGAAUACAUUAGCAUGGAAUAAUAAGAUAGGACCUCGGUUCUAUUUUGUUGGUUUCUAGGGCUGAGAUAAUGAUUAAUAGGGAUAAUUGGGGGCAUCUGUAUCAACGCGUCAGAGGUGGAAUUCUUGGAUUGCGUUGCGACAAACUACUGCGAAAGCAUUUGCCAAGGAUGUUUUCAUUGA